GGAUUAGAUACCCUGGUAGUCCACGCCGUAAACGAUGUCAACUAGCCGUUGGGGAACUUGAUUCUUUAGUGGCGCAGCUAACGCACUAAGUUGACCGCCUGGGGAGUACGGCCGCAAGGUUAAAACUCAAAUGAAUUGACGGGGGCCCGCACAAGCGGUGGAGCAUGUGGUUUAAUUCGAUGCAACGCGAAGAACCUUACCAGGUCUUGACAUCCUAGGAACUUGGCAGAGAUGCCUUGGUGCCUUCGGGAGCCUAGAGACAGGUGCUGCAUGGCUGUCGUCAGCUCGUGUUG
RNAcentral lists this ribosomal RNA (293 nucleotides) under uncultured bacterium. RNAcentral's name for it is "partial 16S ribosomal RNA". It matches the Rfam family "Bacterial small subunit ribosomal RNA", at positions 775 to 1067 of the family's 1533-position model. The record is from RNAcentral.